CGCUGGCGGCGUGCCUAACACAUGCAAGUCGAACGGAGCUGCUUUGAUGAAGUUUUCGGAUGGAUUUAAAACAGCUUAGUGGCGGACGGGUGAGUAACGCGUGGGUAACCUGCCUCACACUGGGGGAUAACAGUUAGAAAUAGCUGCUAAUACCGCAUAAGCGCACAGUUCCGCAUGGAACAGUGUGAAAAACUCCGGUGGUGUGAGAUGGACCCGCGUCUGAUUAGCCAGUUGGCGGGGUAACGGCCCACCAAAGCGACGAUCAGUAGCCGGCCUGAGAGGGUGAACGGCCACAUUGGGACUGAGACACGGCCCAAACUCCUACGGGAGGCAGCAGUGGGGAAUAUUGCACAAUGGGGGAAACCCUGAUGCAGCGACGCCGCGUGAGUGAAGAAGUAUUUCGGUAUGUAAAGCUCUAUCAGCAGGGAAGAAAGUGACGGUACCUGAAUAAGAAGCCCCGGCUAACUACGUGCCAGCAGCCGCGGUAAUACGUAGGGGGCAAGCGUUAUCCGGAUUUACUGGGUGUAAAGGGAGCGUAGACGGCAAGGCAAGUCUGAAGUGAAAGCCCGGUGCUUAACGCCCGGGACUGCUUUGGAAACUGUUUAGCUGGAGUGCCGGAGAGGUAAGCGGAAUUCCUAGUGUAGCGGUGAAAUGCGUAGAUAUUAGGAAGAACACCAGUGGCGAAGGCGGCUUACUGGACGGUAACUGACGUUGAGGCUCGAAAGCGUGGGGAGCAAACAGGAUUAGAUACCCUGGUAGUCCACGCCGUAAACGAUGAUUGCUAGGUGUAGGUGGGUAUGGACCCAUCGGUGCCGCAGCUAACGCAAUAAGCAAUCCACCUGGGGAGUACGUUCGCAAGAAUGAAACUCAAAGGAAUUGACGGGGACCCGCACAAGCGGUGGAGCAUGUGGUUUAAUUCGAAGCAACGCGAAGAACCUUACCAGGUCUUGACAUCCCGAUGAAAAACCCGUAACGGGGUUCCCUCUUCGGAGCAUCGGAGACAGGUGGUGCAUGGUUGUCGUCAGCUCGUGUCGUGAGAUGUUGGGUUAAGUCCCGCAACGAGCGCAACCCUUAUUCUUAGUAGCCAGCAGGUAAAGCUGGGCACUCUAAGGAGACUGCCGGGGAUAACCCGGAGGAAGGUGGGGAUGACGUCAAAUCAUCAUGCCCCUUAUGAUCUGGGCUACACACGUGCUACAAUGGCGUAACAAAGGGAAGCGAGCCUGCGAGGGUGAGCGAAUCCCAAAAAUAACGUCCCAGUUCGGACUGUAGUCUGCAACCCGACUACACGAAGCUGGAAUCGCUAGUAAUCGCGAAUCAGAAUGUCGCGGUGAAUACGUUCCCGGGUCUUGUACACACCGCCCGUCACACCAUGGGAGUCGGAAAUGCCCGAAGUCUGUGACUCAACCGUAAGGAGAGAGCAGCCGAAGGCAGGUCUGAUAACUGGG
Molecule: ribosomal RNA, 1445 nt
Filed under: uncultured organism
Description: SSU rRNA
Rfam family: Bacterial small subunit ribosomal RNA
Source: RNAcentral